AUCUGGAUGCAGAUCUAAUCAGAAAGGUGCUGCAUGUUUGCUAACUUGGAAGGGGUCUUCCCACCGUAAUUUCUCUGGGGUUCACUGAAUUGGAGAAGAGGAGUAAGGAAGUGAACUUUAAGUUUUUAUUCAGUGUUACCUUGACAACUCCCUCAUAAAUUAACCAUGUCCACUUUGUGAAAAAGAAAAAUUAUUGAUUACAAAGAAUCUAUGGAGCCUACAAUUUCUUAUUAAAAGUUUGUCCUGAAAAUGGUAGCUUGUCAGCUUUAGAAGAUGUACAAAAACGAGGACUCUUCUUCUGGUGUCCUCCAGAUAUGUUUAGAAUGCAACCUUUUUUCUACCUUAGCUGAGAAGAAGCUGCAAUCAUGACAUCUGUUCCUUCAGCCAACUCAAGGUCUGGUCCACAUUUUGUGAACUCACUCGGACUCACUCCAAGAUGAUGUACCUGCUUUUUCUGGAUGUCUCUGCUCCUACAAGACUUGGGAUCCGAGCACUUCCUAUGUUUUGGGCUCAAGUCAAGUUUCUGACAGAAAAAUCCAUGGAAGCCAGGUUGUUGAAAUAUGGGGUGUCAGAAGGGGGAUCUCCACAGCAGAAUUCUUUUUGAUUUUUUGCUUAAAAGAAAAACUCCAUUCUGCAGCAAAUGGAGGGACUGGAAAUAGUUGAAGAGAGUGAUCAUUCUGGUACUACAACCAAUCCCAGAAAACAACACAUUUUAAUCCUGUUCUCUACCAACUACAGUGUAAACUAGAAACAAAACCAUGAAGCUGGAGAUUAAGUUUCAGAGUUUCAAGCUAAAUCAGAAUUCUUUGGAGUUGGAAAUCCAAUCAUAAGUUCCAGAUUUGAAUUAAUAUUGUACAUUGACCUCCAGUGAGAAUAAACACACUUGUCUGUCCCUUCUUGGUAAAAAGGGUGAGAUAAAGAUUGCCUCUUUGUUUUGUAUGUUACUCACUAAAUAUCCUAGCUGCACCUAAUUUAAACAUCAAUAAAGAGUAAAUAGAUGUAAAUUACUAUUCUUUCCUCAUUAUCCAAGUUUGCCAACUCCAAUAACCAUUGUGCCAGACUGUGACCUUGUAGCUUUCCUAUCUUAUUCGCAAUAUUAGUUCUCUAAAAGAGGAAUCCAAGGUGUGCUUAACUGGGUAUAAAUUCAGAUAACUAUCUUUUAAAUAUGAUUGUAGGGUUACAUCUCAUCUCUGUUUAGAAUUCAUGCCUGUAAUCGUGAAUAGCUUUUCCUUUGUGUGUAAAAUAUCGUGACCAUAUGUAAAUCUACUGUGAGCACUAUUUUGCUCUGAUCCAUAAUUAACAUCUGUAUUCGUCAGCAUCUUUGGAUAUGGAAAAAUUGGUAAAUGGACUGGGAGACCAAUUUUUCAAAAGUGGAGGGUUCCUGAAAGAAGAAUUAAAAGGCCCAUUGCUUACUCUCCUAUAAACUACUCCGAGAGGGUAGAAGUCCCACACAUGUAGCUGCCAUAUGCACAGCCAUAAUGCUGCUUGAUUACAUGAUAGAGCUUUUUAGCAACAAG
Molecule: non-coding RNA, 1517 nt
Organism: Pseudonaja textilis
Lineage: Eukaryota; Metazoa; Chordata; Lepidosauria; Squamata; Elapidae
Source: RefSeq, a predicted model, not a curated record